GGAUUAGAUACCCGGGUAGUCCACGCCCUAAACGAUGUCUACUAGUUGUCGGGUCUUAAUUGACUUGGUAACGCAGCUAACGCGUGAAGUAGACCGCCUGGGGAGUACGGUCGCAAGAUUAAAACUCAAAGGAAUUGACGGGGACCCGCACAAGCGGUGGAUGAUGUGGAUUAAUUCGAUGCAACGCGAAAAACCUUACCUACCCUUGACAUGUCUGGAAUCCUGCUGAAAGGCGGGAGUGCUCGAAAGAGAAUCAGAACACAGGUGCUGCAUGGCUGUCGUCAGCUCGUGUCGUGAGAUGUUGGGUUAAGUCCCG
RNAcentral lists this ribosomal RNA (316 nucleotides) under uncultured bacterium. Its description in RNAcentral is "bacterial SSU rRNA". It matches the Rfam family "Bacterial small subunit ribosomal RNA", at positions 775 to 1089 of the family's 1533-position model. The record is from RNAcentral.